This 624-nucleotide ribosomal RNA is filed under the name Micromonospora sp. MP38-E9. RNAcentral's name for it is "bacterial SSU rRNA". It matches the Rfam family "Bacterial small subunit ribosomal RNA", at positions 252 to 885 of the family's 1533-position model. The record is from RNAcentral. Lineage: Bacteria; Bacillati; Actinomycetota; Actinomycetes; Micromonosporales; Micromonosporaceae.
GUGGGGUGAUGGCCUACCAAGGGCGACGACGGGUAGCCGGCCUGAGAGGGCGACCGGCCACACUGGGACUGAGACACGGCCCAGACUCCUACGGGAGGCAGCAGUGGGGAAUAUUGCACAAUGGGCGGAAGCCUGAUGCAGCGACGCCGCGUGAGGGAUGACGGCCUUCGGGUUGUAAACCUCUUUCAGCAGGGACGAAGCGUAAGUGACGGUACCUGCAGAAGAAGCACCGGCCAACUACGUGCCAGCAGCCGCGGUAAGACGUAGGGUGCGAGCGUUGUCCGGAUUUAUUGGGCGUAAAGAGCUCGUAGGCGGCUUGUCGCGUCGACCGUGAAAACUUGGGGCUCAACCCCAAGCCUGCGGUCGAUACGGGCAGGCUAGAGUUCGGUAGGGGAGACUGGAAUUCCUGGUGUAGCGGUGAAAUGCGCAGAUAUCAGGAGGAACACCGGUGGCGAAGGCGGGUCUCUGGGCCGAUACUGACGCUGAGGAGCGAAAGCGUGGGGAGCGAACAGGAUUAGAUACCCUGGUAGUCCACGCUGUAAACGUUGGGCGCUAGGUGUGGGGGGCCUCUCCGGUUUCCUGUGCCGCAGCUAACGCAUUAAGCGCCCCGCCUGGGGAGUACGG